Long non-coding RNA from Odocoileus virginianus texanus, 890 nucleotides. RefSeq lists it as uncharacterized. Lineage: Eukaryota; Metazoa; Chordata; Mammalia; Artiodactyla; Cervidae. The record is from RefSeq and is a predicted model, not a curated record.
GUUUCGGGCUCUCCGAAGGCCUGACUCCGCGGCCCGACAGCCCAGCCAGGCAGUCCUGCGUAGCUCAGAGUCCCCCCUUUUCCCUCAUUGGGCUUUCUCCACUCAGGGUUUCUCUGGAGGGUUUUUAGGGCCCCCCAGAGACUCUGCCCUGUGGCCCAGCUUCCUCCCAGAAGGGCUGUAUUUUGGUGGACAAGGCUAGCUCUUAUCUAAGUGACCAGCCCUGGGAUCCUCUCCUCCGGGACACGGGCCUGCGCAUCCAUACGCGCUUGCACUUCCCACCCCGACUGGUCCCCCUGCACAUCUGCCCAAACCCAGGCUCACCCCCAAGCCCAGGCUUUCCGACCACCUGGACUACUGAUUUCUCCUCCCAUCAGGUCUGGCCUCCAGCUAUACGCGAAGAUGCUCUAUACCUGCCAUAGCAGAUGAAAAGACAAGCACACAGACGAAGAGGAGAAAAGAGCCUCACUUGGCAGAGGGGACAGAAAGGGAAAGUAAGAAUGCUGGUGUCGGAGGAGCCUGGGUAUUUCCUAGACCAGUGGUCCUUAAACUUCUGUGGACCACCAAGCAGGAAGGCGAGAAAGCAGUGACCACUCGCCCCCACUUCUAUUCUGUCAAGGUCACAGGCUUCUCCUCUCCUCCUGGGGCCCGUGCUAGUCAUCUCCUAUCAGUGUUUCGAGAACAGUCUUCUGAGCUUUCUACAGCUCUGUGAAAGCGGUUGGUUGGGGACCCAUCACAUGUGGGGUCAGGGAGAUGCUCAGAAACUCUUGUUGUCUGUCUGAGGUCAGGUAGGCACUUGAGAGAACCUGGGGGAAAUCAAGGACUUACCCACUGUCACCAUGGGGACCUGCCUUUUGCAAAUGUAACUGGUUUAUUAAAUGAGCUGGACCGGG